UACGUAGGGUGCGAGCGUUGUCCGGAAUUAUUGGGCGUAAAGGGCUCGUAGGCGGUUUGUCGCGUCGGGAGUGAAAACACUGGGCUUAACUCAGUGCUUGCUUCCGAUACGGGCAGACUAGAGGUAUUCAGGGGAGAACGGAAUUCCUGGUGUAGCGGUGAAAUGCGCAGAUAUCAGGAGGAACACCGGUGGCGAAGGCGGUUCUCUGGGAAUGUCCUGACGCUGGGGAGCGAAAGUGUGGGGAGCGAACAGG
RNAcentral lists this ribosomal RNA (253 nucleotides) under uncultured bacterium. RNAcentral describes it as "partial 16S ribosomal RNA". It matches the Rfam family "Bacterial small subunit ribosomal RNA", at positions 524 to 776 of the family's 1533-position model. The record is from RNAcentral.